AGUAGAAUGGCUGAGAAAUAGGUAAUAGAUUGUAAAUCUAUAUAGGAGUAAUAACUCUUCUACUA
This 65-nucleotide transfer RNA is filed under the name Centrocolumna evidens. RNAcentral's name for it is "tRNA-Tyr". The record is from RNAcentral. Lineage: Eukaryota; Metazoa; Arthropoda; Insecta; Blattodea; Blattellidae.